RNAcentral lists this ribosomal RNA (408 nucleotides) under Enterobacter hormaechei. RNAcentral describes it as "partial 23S ribosomal RNA". Lineage: Bacteria; Pseudomonadati; Pseudomonadota; Gammaproteobacteria; Enterobacterales; Enterobacteriaceae. The record is from RNAcentral.
ACCUCGAUGUCGGCUCAUCACAUCCUGGGGCUGAAGUAGGUCCCAAGGGUAUGGCUGUUCGCCAUUUAAAGUGGUACGCGAGCUGGGUUUAGAACGUCGUGAGACAGUUCGGUCCCUAUCUGCCGUGGGCGCUGGAGAAUUGAGGGGGGCUGCUCCUAGUACGAGAGGACCGGAGUGGACGCAUCACUGGUGUUCGGGUUGUCAUGCCAAUGGCACUGCCCGGUAGCUAAAUGCGGAAGAGAUAAGUGCUGAAAGCAUCUAAGCACGAAACUUGCCCCGAGAUGAGUUCUCCCUGAGACYUURAGUCUCCUGAAGGAACGUUGAAGACGACGACGUUGAUAGGUCGGGUGUGUAAGCGCAGCGAUGCGUUGAGCUAACCGAUACUAAUGAACCGUGAGGCUUAACCUU